UGCAGUCGACGAUGAUGGGAGCUUGCUCCUGGAUUAGUGGCGAACGGGUGAGUAACACGUGAGUAACCUGCCCUUAACUCUGGGAUAAGCCUGGGAAACUGGGUCUAAUACCGGAUAUGACUCCUCAUCGCAUGGUGGGGGGUGGAAAGCUUUUUGUGGUUUUGGAUGGACUCGCGGCCUAUCAGCUUGUUGGUGAGGUAAUGGCUUACCAAGGCGACGACGGGUAGCCGGCCUGAGAGGGUGACCGGCCACACUGGGACUGAGACACGGCCCAGACUCCUACGGGAGGCAGCAGUGGGGAAUAUUGCACAAUGGGCGCAAGCCUGAUGCAGCGACGCCGCGUGAGGGAUGACGGCCUUCGGGUUGUAAACCUCUUUCAGUAGGGAAGAAGCGUAAGUGACGGUACCUGCAGAAGAAGCGCCGGCUAACUACGUGCCAGCAGCCGCGGUAAUACGUAGGGCGCAAGCGUUAUCCGGAAUUAUUGGGCGUAAAGAGCUCGUAGGCGGUUUGUCGCGUCUGCCGUGAAAGUCCGGGGCUCAACUCCGGAUCUGCGGUGGGUACGGGCAGACUAGAGUGAUGUAGGGGAGACUGGAAUUCCUGGUGUAGCGGUGAAAUGCGCAGAUAUCAGGAGGAACACCGAUGGCGAAGGCAGGUCUCUGGGCAUUAACUGACGCUGAGGAGCGAAAGCAUGGGGAGCGAACAGGAUUAGAUACCCUGGUAGUCCAUGCCGUAAACGUUGGGCACUAGGUGUGGGGGACAUUCCACGUUUUCCGCGCCGUAGCUAACGCAUUAAGUGCCCCGCCUGGGGAGUACGGCCGCAAGGCUAAAACUCAAAGGAAUUGACGGGGGCCC
RNAcentral lists this ribosomal RNA (852 nucleotides) under Pseudarthrobacter oxydans. RNAcentral's name for it is "bacterial SSU rRNA". It matches the Rfam family "Bacterial small subunit ribosomal RNA", at positions 56 to 922 of the family's 1533-position model. Lineage: Bacteria; Bacillati; Actinomycetota; Actinomycetes; Micrococcales; Micrococcaceae. The record is from RNAcentral.